AAUCCGUGUUGUGGAUACUUUCGCAAGAGAUCCUUGAAUCGUUCCCAUGUCUCAAACAAGGAUUCAAGCUUUAUCAGAACAAACGAUGAUAUUUCAUUAUGAAGCUU
Molecule: small nucleolar RNA, 107 nt
Organism: Dioscorea cayenensis subsp. rotundata (Guinea yam)
Lineage: Eukaryota; Viridiplantae; Streptophyta; Magnoliopsida; Dioscoreales; Dioscoreaceae
Source: RefSeq, a predicted model, not a curated record